UACGUAGGAGACGAGCGUUGUCCGGAGUUACUGGGCGUAAAGGGUGCGCAGGUGGCGGCGCGCGUGGGGGGUGAAAUCGCCCGGCUUAACCGGGAGGGUGCGGCGAAUACUGAGAUGCUGGAGUGCCGGAGAGGUAAGCGGAAUUCCUGGUGUAGCGGUGAAAUGCGUAGAUAUCAGGAGGAACACCUGCGGUGUAGACGGCUUACUGGACGGUAACUGACGCUGAGGCACGAAAGCGUGGGUAGCAAACAGG
RNAcentral lists this ribosomal RNA (253 nucleotides) under uncultured bacterium. Its description in RNAcentral is "partial 16S ribosomal RNA". It matches the Rfam family "Bacterial small subunit ribosomal RNA", at positions 524 to 776 of the family's 1533-position model. The record is from RNAcentral.